GAUGAACGCUGGCGGCAUGCCUAAUACAUGCAAGUCGAGCGGACGGAUAGUGAGCUUUCUCCUUUGCCGUUGGCGGCGGACGGGUGAGUAAUACGUAGGUCACCUACCUCUAAGACUGGAGUAACUACGGGGGACCGGUUACAAUACCGGAUCACAUUUAGAACGGCAGGGUUCUAAAGAGCUAGAUGGUUUUGCUAUCACUUAUAGAUGGUCCCGGGUCGGAUUAGCUAGUUGGUAAGGUAACGGCCUACCAAGGCGACGAUACGUAGCCGACCUGAGAGGGUGAUCAGCCACACUGGAACUGAGACACGGUCCAGACUCCUACGGGAGGCAGCAGUGGGGAAUAUUGGGCAAUGGGCGAAAGCCUGAUGCAGCCACGCCGCGUGAGUGAAGAAGGUCUUCGGAUUGUAAAGCUCUGUUAUUAGGGAAGAACAGAAGUAGGAGUAAACCUGGACGUCUUGACGGUACCUAAACAAAAAGCACCGGCUAACUUCGUG
This 497-nucleotide ribosomal RNA is filed under the name uncultured bacterium. RNAcentral's name for it is "partial 16S ribosomal RNA". It matches the Rfam family "Bacterial small subunit ribosomal RNA", at positions 28 to 507 of the family's 1533-position model. The record is from RNAcentral.